GGGUCAGUAGGUUGGUCGUGCCACCGGUACGUACUGGUCUCACUGAUUCCUCCUUCCUGAAGAACCUUAAUGCCAUUAAUUUGGUGUUGCGGGGAAACAGGACUGUUACUUUGAAAAAAUUAGAGUGUUUAAAGCAAGCUAACGCUUGAAUACAUUAGCAUGGAAUAAUGAAAUAGGACGAUCGAUCCAAUUUUGUUGGUUUCUAGGAUUGACGUA
This 216-nucleotide ribosomal RNA is filed under the name Glomeromycotina sp. RNAcentral's name for it is "partial small subunit ribosomal RNA". The stretch from base 40 to 216 matches the Rfam family "Eukaryotic small subunit ribosomal RNA", at positions 686 to 864 of the family's 1831-position model. The record is from RNAcentral. Lineage: Eukaryota; Fungi; Glomeromycota.